RNAcentral lists this long non-coding RNA (356 nucleotides) under Vigna radiata. Its description in RNAcentral is "long non-coding RNA (VRAD_LNC016333)". The record is from RNAcentral. Lineage: Eukaryota; Viridiplantae; Streptophyta; Magnoliopsida; Fabales; Fabaceae.
CUGGAGGAGGAGACAGUUGCUUCAAAACUAGGGUUUGUGAGUUAUGAUUCUGGAUAAGAAAGGAGAAUGGACUCUUGGGCAAGAAUUUAGGCUUGGUGGAAAACGAGUAUCCAAUGGGUAUCUGCAAGUUAAAAAAAAUCCACAGAUUUUUUUAUGCAGGUAUCCAGCAGGUAGCAAGACAGGUAACAUAUAUGAUUUUUAAAUGCAGGUCGGAUUGUGGGUAAACACUAUCCAUACCUUACCUGACCCGUUGUCAUUCUACUCUUGCCACAACCUUAUCAUUGUCAUCAUAAACGUGAAUCACUAGUAUUUUAACUUUUACUAUUGUUUUUACUUAAAGAAAACCUUUCCCCCGU